RNAcentral lists this long non-coding RNA (4422 nucleotides) under Medicago truncatula (barrel medic). Its description in RNAcentral is "long non-coding RNA (MTRU_LNC003826)". Lineage: Eukaryota; Viridiplantae; Streptophyta; Magnoliopsida; Fabales; Fabaceae. The record is from RNAcentral.
AACCUCCGCUAACAAAAAUAGUACACUGUAUACUAAUUGUAUUUAAAAAACCAACUUAUACAGAAUAAUGGAGUUCCAGGUGGAAAGGGACUCUUAGGGUCCAAUAUUGGCCUCACUCUGCCAUUUUCCAAAUAAGGUUGCAAUUUCUCUAACACUGCUCCAUCUGAAGUGAGUAAGAAAGGGAUAGCUGGUGGAGUUCCAGGUGGUAGUAUUGUCACAACUUUUCCUCCUUCAUUGGCAGCCUUCACUGCCCUCUCACUAUCACCUAUUUUUGGAAUAUAUAAAAAAUAUUAAAUAGGUUCUUAACUAUAUUGUUUUCUUACAAUGAAAACUUACACAUUAUACAACAUAUUAAUAAAAAUUCAAAUUUAAUACAAAUAUCUUACCUACUGCAUCAUACACCACAUCAAACUUUUCAGUAAUUUCUUCAUAAUUCUCCUUUGUAUAAUCAAUUGCCAAGUCUGCUCCCAAUUUCCUCAAAAAUUCAAGUUUUGUUGUGCUAGCAGUAGCUGCAAUUCUAGAUGCCUCAAAAACAUGCUUGGCUAGCUAUAGUCCAAAACAAAUAAUUGCAUUCCAUUAGAUGACAAAAUACUACAUUGUAUACUUUAUGUAUUACAAAAGCCAACUUAUAUUGAGGAAUGAAUAAGUUAAGGACGAAUUGUUUGGGAGAAUCUGUUUGGUUUCUGGUUGGAACAUUCUUUAAUCGGACUUUACUUAUCUUCUAGUUAGACUUACGGAUUAUCAGCGUCGCUUUUCUCGAGAACCACAAGAUGAGAACAAAAAAUGUUCAUCUUAUUUUCAAGGGAUUUAACUAUCUUCUGGUCAAACUUUAGUUAAAGAUGAAUUGUUUGUGAGAACCUGUUAUAUUUCUGAUUAGAACAAUUUUUAGUCCGACUUUAACCGGGUUCUCUUUUCAUGAGAACAAAGACUGAAGACAAAAAAAUAUAUAUAUAUCUUAUCUUAUGUUAUUUCCUAGUAUUGAGUAUCUUUAGAAACAAGAUUUCAAACCUGAAUAACAAGAGAUCCAACUCCCCCAGCACCUCCAAGAACAAGUAGAGAUUUCCCAGAAGAAAAUUCUACUCUUUCAAGACCUUGAUAAGCAGUAAUUAUUGCUAAAGGGAGACUAGCAGCUUCAACAAAACUCAAAUUUGAUGGCUUGUGAGCAAGUACUUUUUCUUCAGCAACAGUAUACUCUGACAAAGAACCAACAGUUUUUGGAUUGUUUAAAGCAGUCUCAUUGAUAUCACCAUAAACUUCAUCUCCAACCUUAAAUUUAUUCACUUUCUCUCCCACACUAACCACAACACCAGCAACAUCAUAUCCUGGCACAGUCUUCACACCACCACACAAAAGAAAGAAAAAAAAUCAUGUUAUUCAAGCAUUAUAUUUGUGAGUUUAAUUUUGAUACCUUGUUGGUGUUUUCCACUGUCAAGAAAUUACGAACAAUCAUACGUGUGAUGUUAGAAAUAAUUAAUAUUUAAGUAGACGUUUUUAAUAAUCUUACCCAUAUGAUUGCUAGUGAAAAAAUUAUUUAAUUAUGAAUCAAAUGCAAAAAAAAAAAAAAUAAUAUAUAUAUAUAUAUAUAUAUUGGUUUAGGAAUUUAGCGGGGAUAUGGGGUUCGAACUCUGACCCCUGCAUAAAUUAUGCAUUGCCACUAUCAACUGAGCUAAACUUUUAGAGAAUUUUUUUUUACAUAUUUGAUAUGACUAAAAACAAAGAACAAGUUUUACAAGAUUAAAAUAAAAAUAAAAAUUCAUACUUAGGUCAUAGAUGGUAAUUGAAAUCUUACUGGCAAAGGAGAGUCAAUAUCCUUCAACUGACCAAGAGCCCUCUUAAUCUCUACAGGAUUAAGGGCAGCAGCCACAACCUUGAUGAGCACUUGAUCUUCUUUGGGGUGUGGUGUAGGUACAUUAGGAUCAAACUUUAGAACAUCUUCUAUAAUACCAUAUUGAGAGUAAACCCAAGCUUUUGUAUGAGAUGGAAUACUAUGUGUGCUUGCCAUGAUCACUUUGCUAUUAAGAGUUUUAAGAGAAAAAUAUAUAAAAAGGUAAUUAUUAGAUGUAAUAUAAAGUUGCACUUUGUGUUGGUGUUUUUUGUGUGAUAAUGUUCAUCAAAUCAAAUGACUAUUAUUUAUAUAGAUAGGAGUUGUACGUUAAAAUGCUUGAAUCAUUCUAAUAUUUGUUCAUUUAAGAAUAAUAAGUGUCCAUUCCCUUUUCUUAUUUUAUGUAUGUCAAAUUCAUUCAACCAAUGCAUGAAGAUGACUUUGGGGAUAAGUUCAUGAAGUGAUGUAAUGGUAUACGAGGAGCAAUCUCAUUCAACCAGGAGCAUUCGGUUUUGCUGCUCAACUUGGAUCUCCAAUAUUUAUAUUCUAACAAUUAGACUAAAAGUUAUGAAUCUUUUUAAUUAAUAAUUAAGUUUAUACUUCUGCAAUUCAUAAAAAAUUUAAAAUUAUAAUAAAUAAACAUGCGAAUUUAACUCAGUUGAUAGCGACAUUGCAUUAUAUAUUAAGAACCGAGAUUUAAAUUAUAUAUUCAUCACUUAUUCACCUUAAAAGGUAAUUUCUAUCGACCAAACUACUUAAUAAAAAAUAUAUGUUUUUAAUAUCUAUAAGUAUAGUCAACUCGGGUGUAAGUUCAACAAAGGCAACCAAAAAAAUAUCAAAAACAAAACCUCUUAUACAACAAUUUUCAACAUUAAAAUAAAUACAAUCUUAUAUAAAAUUAAUAUUGUCACGACAAAAAUUAAAUUAUACCAGUUUUUUCAAAAUUAAAAUUAAUAAAAUCUUAUAUAAAAGUAAAGUUUUCUCCUUAAAAAAAAAAAAGUUUCCUUUCACUAAAUAAUUGCUUUCUAGUUACUGUUCUUCCUUGAGUGACUUCACGCCUGACAUCAGACACAAGCACGUACAAUUCAAUUAUGAACAAAAUGUAUUUGAUCAUGUAUUUGUUCAUAAACAUAUUGUUAGGAAAAACUAGACUUAAUUGUUUCUUUAAGGUGGAAUAUAUUUCGUUACACACAUGUAAUUAAAUAGACAAUCAUCCGGAAGCAAUUUUAGAAUGCAAUAAUAAAGAUAAAAUAAUUGACAAAAAAAAUUUAGAGUACAAAUCAAGUUGCUUGGGCUCUAGUGGCAAAGAGCUCUUUCCAAAUACGUAUUCGGGGAAUACCGGUUUCGAUUCUCAGGGGGAACAACGCUUGGCCAGUGCGCAUGCCUAUACACACGAGCCGGAUUAGUCGUCCACCUUUGGUGGGUCGGAAACCGGUGCGAAAGCAAAAAAAAAAUUGUGGAAAAAUGACGAAAUCUCAAAAUCAAACGUAAGAAGACUGAACAUAUGUGGAAAUCACUUAUUUAACAAGAAUAAGGAAAAACAAUUUUGAGGUGUAAUUUUCGGAUCAAAAUUGUCCUUAAUCACUCACAAGAAGAAGUAAGGUGGUGACAUAUACACAAUGUACAACGUGAAAUUGCAUGAUCCAACCUCGAAGACUUGUUUAUUCUUCUUAAAAAGUUAAAUUUCUAACUAAUAAACUAUUUGACUGAGAAUUAAAAAAUCACGGGGAGAUAGUACAAUUAAAUCUUGCAGCAAAGAACAUUAGAAAACUACUACACCAGAACCCAAAGACCUUUCUUUUGUUUCUCUCAAGCUUCUCAGCAUGUUCUCCUUCAAGUUGUUUUUCCAAGUCAUAAAUCAUUUCCCAGUGAUUAUAAAAAGCAGAGCAGCUUAUCCAAACUCUUGAUUUGUACUAUAAACUUUCAUGAAAAGAUUGUACUUUCAAAUGGUAAAGACUAAAAUUUCAAGAUUGUAAAUGAGUGAAGAAACAAGGUUUUAUAAUGUUUUUUAAUUAUAUAUAUUGUGCAGAUGAACAUUGCAUUAACGGUUUUGUUUCAUUUACUUUAUCCCAUUUAUCGUCAUUUAUAAAAGAUAUAGACACAAUAUUAUUUUAUAAAAAAGUUUGGAUUUUUAAUCACGCCACGAUUUUUUCAGAACUUCAAUAUCAAUUUUGAAUCAAUUUUCAACAUUAACGAUUUUUUGGAUAAUUAUAAAAAAUAACAAACAUAUAUCUCUUAGAGAUUUAUUACUGCAUAAACACACAAAUACACUUUCUAGUAACCAAAAUAGUACAAAUUCAAAGCCAUGAAAUUUAUGAGCUUGAUUAUUCAUGCUCAUGGAAUGGGAUGAAUAACUAUUUUCCCAAUAGCUCUAUUAGUAUUGAGAUAGGAAAAUGCUUCCAAAGUCUGAUAAAAUGGAAAGGGACUCUUAGGGUCCAAUAUUGGUUUCACUUUGCCAUUUUCCAAAUAAGGUUGCAAUUUCUCUAAUACAGCUCCAUCUGAAGUGAGUAAGAAAGGGAUAGCUGGUGGAGUUCCAGGUGGUAGUAUUGUCACAACUUUUCCUCCUUCAUUGGCAGCCUUCACUGCCCUCUCACUAUCAC